CGCAGCCGCGGUAAUUCCAGCUCCAAUAGCGUAUAUUAAAGUUGUUGCAGUUAAAAAGCUCGUAGUUGAAUUUCGGGAUCAAUUUAUUGGUCGUGCUAUUGUACGUACUGGUAUUAUUGAUUCCUACCUUCUGACGAACCAUGAUGUCAUUAAUUUGGUGUCAUGGGGAAUCAGGACUGUUACUUUGAAAAAUUAGAGUGUUUAAAGCAGGCUCACGCUUGAAUACAUUAGCAUGGAAUAACGAAAUAGGACGUUUGAUUCUAUUUUGUUGGUUUCUAGGAUCGACGUAAUGAUUAAUAGGGAUAGUUGGGGGCAUUAGUAUUCAAUUGUCAGAGGUGAAAUUCUUGGAUUUAUUGAAGACUAACUACUGCGAAAGCAUUUGCCAAGGAUGUUUUCAUUAAUCAAGAACGAAAGUUAGGGGAUCGAAGACGAUCAGAUACCGUCGUAGUCUUAACCAUAAACUAUGCCGACUAGGGAUCGGAUGAUGUUAAUUUUUAAUGA
This 501-nucleotide ribosomal RNA is filed under the name uncultured Glomus. RNAcentral describes it as "SSU rRNA". It matches the Rfam family "Eukaryotic small subunit ribosomal RNA", at positions 569 to 1074 of the family's 1831-position model. Lineage: Eukaryota; Fungi; Glomeromycota; Glomeromycetes; Glomerales; Glomeraceae. The record is from RNAcentral.